UCUGACUGUGCAAAGGUAGCAUAAUCAUUUGCCUUUUAAUUAAAGGCUCGUAUGAAUGGUUGAACGAAAUACAAACUGUCUCACUCUAAAAAGUUUAAAAAUUUAGCUUUCAAGUCAAAAGGCUUGAAUAAUAUUAGAGGACGAGAAGACCCUAUAGAACUUUAUAAUAUUUUUUUGUGAAUUUACAUAGUAAAAUAUUUUUUAUUUAUAAAUAUUAUUAUUUUGUUGGGGUGACAGGAAAAUAAGCAAAACUUUUUUGAAUUUUGAACAUUGAUUUAUGAAUAUUUGAUCCAUUAUUAGUGAUUAUUAGAAUAAGUUACCUUAGGGAUAACAGCGUAAUUUUGUUGGAGAGUUCAAAUCGAUAACAAAGUUUGCGACCUCGAUGUUGAAUUAAAGAAAUUUUAGAGUGCAGAAGCUUUAAGUAAUAGGUCUGUUCGACCUUUAAAUCUUUACAUGAUCUGAGUGUCAAACCGA
This 474-nucleotide ribosomal RNA is filed under the name Myrmeleon hyalinus. Its description in RNAcentral is "partial 16S ribosomal RNA". It matches the Rfam family "Bacterial large subunit ribosomal RNA", at positions 1941 to 2619 of the family's 2925-position model. Lineage: Eukaryota; Metazoa; Arthropoda; Insecta; Neuroptera; Myrmeleontidae. The record is from RNAcentral.